UACGAAGGGUGCAAGCGUUGUUCGGAUUUACUGGGCGUAAAGGGCGCGUAGGCGGCCACCGCAAGUCGGUUGUGAAAUCUCUGGGCUUAACCCAGAAAGGUCAACCGAUACUGCGGGGCUAGAGUGCAGAAGGGGCAACUGGAAUUCUCGGUGUAGCGGUGAAAUGCGUAGAUAUCGAGAGGAACACCUGCGGCGAAGGCGGGUUGCUAGGCUGACACUGACGCUGAGGCGCGAAAGCCAGGGGAGCAAACAGG
RNAcentral lists this ribosomal RNA (254 nucleotides) under uncultured bacterium. RNAcentral describes it as "partial 16S ribosomal RNA". It matches the Rfam family "Bacterial small subunit ribosomal RNA", at positions 524 to 776 of the family's 1533-position model. The record is from RNAcentral.